This 253-nucleotide ribosomal RNA is filed under the name uncultured bacterium. RNAcentral's name for it is "partial 16S ribosomal RNA". It matches the Rfam family "Bacterial small subunit ribosomal RNA", at positions 524 to 776 of the family's 1533-position model. The record is from RNAcentral.
UACGUAGGGGGCAAGCGUUGUCCGGAAUCAUUGGGCGUAAAGAGCGUGUAGGCGGCCAGAAAAGUCCGCUGUGAAAACUCGAGGCUCAACUUCGAGCUGUCGGUGGAAACUUUCUGGCUAGAGUCCGGAAGAGGAGAAUGGAAUUCCUGGUGUAGCGGUGAAAUGCGCAGAUAUCGGGAGGAACACCAAUGGCGAAGGCAGCUCGCUGGGACGGUACUGACGCUGAGGCGCGAAAGCGUGGGGAGCAAACAGG